Molecule: ribosomal RNA, 503 nt
Filed under: uncultured bacterium
Lineage: Bacteria
Description: partial 16S ribosomal RNA
Rfam family: Bacterial small subunit ribosomal RNA
Source: RNAcentral
AUUGAACGCUGGCGGCAGGCUUAACACAUGCAAGUCGAGCGGGGUGAUGGUGCUUGCACUAUCACUUAGCGGCGGACGGGUGAGUAAUGCUUAGGAAUCUACCUAUUAGUGGGGGACAACAUCUCGAAAGGGAUGCUAAUACCGCAUACGUCCUACGGGAGAAAGCAGGGGAUCACUUGUGACCUUGCGCUAAUAGAUGAGCCUAAGUCGGAUUAGCUAGUUGGUGGGGUAAAGGCCUACCAAGGCGACGAUCUGUAGCGGGUCUGAGAGGAUGAUCCGCCACACUGGGACUGAGACACGGCCCAGACUCCUACGGGAGGCAGCAGUGGGGAAUAUUGGACAAUGGGGGGAACCCUGAUCCAGCCAUGCCGCGUGUGUGAAGAAGGCCUUAUGGUUGUAAAGCACUUUAAGCGAGGAGGAGGCUCUUUUGGUUAAUACCCAAGAUGAGAGGACGUUACUCGCAGAAUAAGCACCGGCUAACUCUGUGCCAGCCGCCGCGGUAA